AUGUUCACUGUUAUAUUCAUGUGUCUGUGGCUUUCACUAGGUGACUCCAUGGCAGAUUCAAUACAGCCACUUUCCCCUCAUGUAGUUGUAGAUGAAGGUGAUGAUGUUACUCUGUCCUGCAACUACAGUGCUGCUGUACAGAAUCUGCACUGGUACAGACAAUAUCCAAAAUCUAAACCUGAGUUCCUUCUUUAUAUUUUGGAAAGUGGAGGUCUGAGUUCCAACCUUCCCCCAAGAAUGUCUGCUAAACUUCCUGGAGAUAAACGAGUGGAUCUGCUCAUCUCCUCUGCUGCUGUAUCAGACUCUGCACUAUACUACUGUGCUCUG
Pangasianodon hypophthalmus (striped catfish) is the source of this 327-nucleotide non-coding RNA. NCBI's taxonomy places the organism in Eukaryota, Metazoa, Chordata, Actinopteri, Siluriformes, Pangasiidae. The record is from the annotation of a RefSeq genome assembly.